Molecule: ribosomal RNA, 429 nt
Filed under: Enterococcus faecalis
Lineage: Bacteria; Bacillati; Bacillota; Bacilli; Lactobacillales; Enterococcaceae
Description: bacterial SSU rRNA
Rfam family: Bacterial small subunit ribosomal RNA
Source: RNAcentral
UAUUAUGAGAGUUUGAUCCUGGCUCAGGACGAACGCUGGCGGCGUGCCUAAUACAUGCAAGUCGAACGCUUCUUUCCUCCCGAGUGCUUGCGCUCAAUUGGAAAGAGGAGUGGCGGACGGGUGAGUAACACGUGGGUAACCUACCCAUCAGAGGGGGAUAACACUUGGAAACAGGUGCUAAUACCGCAUAACAGUUUAUGCCGCAUGGCAUAAGAGUGAAAGGCGCUUUCGGGUGUCGCUGAUGGAUGGACCCGCGGUGCAUUAGCUAGUUGGUGAGGUAACGGCUCACCAAGGCCACGAUGCAUAGCCGACCUGAGAGGGUGAUCGGCCACACUGGGACUGAGACACGGCCCAGACUCCUACGGGAGGCAGCAGUAGGGAAUCUUCGGCAAUGGACGAAAGUCUGACCGAGCAACGCCGCGUGAGUGA